Long non-coding RNA from Scylla paramamosain (green mud crab), 467 nucleotides. RefSeq lists it as uncharacterized. NCBI's taxonomy places the organism in Eukaryota, Metazoa, Arthropoda, Malacostraca, Decapoda, Portunidae. The record is from RefSeq and is a predicted model, not a curated record. The transcript has 4 exons.
ACGCAUUGGUGCAAGUGGACAUACAGGCUGGGAGUUGUGGCAGAAGCGACACUCAUCCAAGAGACUUUGUAGCAGCGAUGGUUUUAGGCAAGACAAGUUUGACUCUUCCCUUACUGAUUGGGGUCAUGAUGUUGGUACUGCUGACAUACAUUUCAAGUCAAGCACAGGCACUCCCAGCAUUCAGUGAGGAUUCUCCUGGCAGCACUGAGAGCUAUGAUACCGCUUGGAGUUAUGGCACCACUGGGUGCUAUGGGACCACUGGGAGCUAUGGAUUCAAUUCAGAUUCCAUGUUAAGGAAACCCUGAAAGUUUGGUUGAAUUAUGUGGAAAUUAUGAAGAAUCUUCACCUGAUAACAGUUAUAUUGAAGAUUCUUCCAGAAGUUCAUCUGCUUACAACUGAGCUAUUAUCAUUUGUGAUCAGUUAAGCAAGCAUAACAAUGUAUGUAUGAUUAAAGGAAAUUCAGCAAA